GUCAUGUGGCCUAGUGGUCAUGGCAUCUGCCCGGUAAGCGGAAGGUCGUGGGUUCGAUUCCCAUCCAUUGACA
RNAcentral lists this transfer RNA (73 nucleotides) under Cordylochernes scorpioides. RNAcentral's name for it is "tRNA-Thr". It matches the Rfam family "tRNA". From Rfam's summary of the family: Transfer RNA (tRNA) molecules are approximately 80 nucleotides in length. Their secondary structure includes four short double-helical elements and three loops (D, anti-codon, and T loops). Lineage: Eukaryota; Metazoa; Arthropoda; Arachnida; Pseudoscorpiones; Chernetidae. The record is from RNAcentral.